CUUACAACAAUGGCUUUAGUGGCGGACUGGUGAGUAACGCGUAAGGAACCUGCCUUUUAGAGGGGAAUAACAAUGAGAAAUCAUUGCUAAUACCGCAUAUGCCGAGAGAAUCACAUGGUACAAUCGGGAAAGGAGCAAUUCGCUAAAAGAUGGCCUUGCGUCUGAUUAGAUAGUUGGUGGGGUAACGGCCCACCAAGUCGACGAUCAGUAGCCGGACUGAGAGGUUGAACGGCCACAUUGGGACUGAGAUACGGCCCAGACUCCUACGGGAGGCAGCAGUCGGGAAUAUUGCGCAAUGGAGGAAACUCUGACGCAGUGACGCCGCGUAUAGGAAGAAGGUUUUCGGAUUGUAAACUAUUGUCGUUAGGGAAGAGAAAGGACAGUACCUAAGGAGGAAGCUCCGGCUAACUACGUGCCAGCAGCCGCGGUAAUACGUAGGGAGCGAGCGUUAUCCGGAAUUAUUGGGUGUAAAGGGUGCGUAGACGGGAAGAUAAGUUAGUUGUGAAAUCCCUCGGCUUAACUGAGGAACUGCAACUAAAACUGUUUUUCUUGAGUGCAGGAGAGGUAAGUGGAAUUCCUAGUGUAGCGGUGAAAUGCGUAGAUAUUAGGAGGAACACCAGUGGCGAAGGCGACUUACUGGACUGUAACUGACGUUGAGGCACGAAAGUGUGGGGAGCAAACAGGAUUAGAUACCCUGGUAGUCCACACCGUAAACGAUGGAUACUAGGUGUAGGAGAUAUUAAGUCUUCUGUGCCGUCGCAAACGCAAUAAGUAUCCCACC
Molecule: ribosomal RNA, 781 nt
Filed under: uncultured bacterium
Lineage: Bacteria
Description: bacterial SSU rRNA
Rfam family: Bacterial small subunit ribosomal RNA
Source: RNAcentral